CCUACGGGAGGCUGCAGUGGGGAAUAUUGGACAAUGGGGGGAACCCUGAUCCAGCCAUGCCGCGUGUGUGAAGAAGGCCCUCGGGUUGUAAAGCACUUUCAGUGAGGAAGAACGCCUGGUGGUUAAUACCCACCAGGAAAGACAUCACUCACAGAAGAAGCACCGGCUAACUCCGUGCCAGCAGCCGCGGUAAUACGGAGGGUGCGAGCGUUAAUCGGAAUUACUGGGCGUAAAGCGCGCGUAGGUGGCUUGAUAAGCCGGUUGUGAAAGCCCCGGGCUCAACCUGGGAACGGCAUCCGGAACUGUCAAGCUAGAGUGCAGGAGAGGAAGGUAGAAUUCCCGGUGUAGCGGUGAAAUGCGUAGAGAUCGGGAGGAAUACCAGUGGCGAAGGCGGCCUUCUGGACUGACACUGACACUGAGGUGCGAAAGCGUGGGUAGCAAACAGGAUUAGAUACCCGAGUAGUC
Molecule: ribosomal RNA, 465 nt
Filed under: Vreelandella stevensii
Lineage: Bacteria; Pseudomonadati; Pseudomonadota; Gammaproteobacteria; Oceanospirillales; Halomonadaceae
Description: partial 16S ribosomal RNA
Rfam family: Bacterial small subunit ribosomal RNA
Source: RNAcentral